UUGAGAACACCAAGCAUAUAUUUCAAUGUUUCAAUCAUAGGAACUUUGAUCUCCAAUUUGUUGAAGAUCUCCAUAAAGCACUUAUACUUCUUUUCCUUCCUAUGAUUUUUCUUCUGAUGAGGAAUGGGUUUUACAUAUGAUCUUUUCUCCUUUCCUCUCUUCCUCUUUUUCUUAAUUUUUUCCUCCCUCAACUUUCUCUUUCUCUUUUUUCUUUCUUUCUUUGUUUUCGUACUUUUUUUCUUUUUUUUUCUCAACCACUUCUUUUUCUUUCUCCUCAUCUUUCUCUCCCUCACUCAACCUUUCUGUUUCUUCUUCCUCUAUCUUUUCCUCAUCAACAACCUCAUCAAUUUGUGUCUCCAAAUUCCUGAAGGUAACUUCAUAGCUCUUGGAAUCAUACUUCUCCAAAAAUUUGUCGAGCUUUUCAUUAAGGCUUUUGACUUGUUCCGUCACAUCAGCUAUCUGUUGACAUAGGUGUUGAUCG
This 481-nucleotide long non-coding RNA is filed under the name Vigna radiata. Its description in RNAcentral is "long non-coding RNA (VRAD_LNC016557)". The record is from RNAcentral. Lineage: Eukaryota; Viridiplantae; Streptophyta; Magnoliopsida; Fabales; Fabaceae.